UAAGUAGGCGGUGGAAAAUGAACCAAAUGGGAUUCCUUAAGUAAUUGCGAAUGAACAAGGAAAUGCUCAGCUUGAAAAAUGGGGCCUUCGGCUUUGAAUUGUAAUUUUGAAAUGUAUUGCCAAUGGAGGCGCAGGUGCAAGCCUAUUGAAAGAAAGCGUCAAUGAGGGUGAGAUUCCUUUUUGUCAUUUGCAGUCCUCCGUGCACGGUAUAUAUUUGACGAGUCACACUCCUCGGCAUUGGAAUGCAAAGUGGGUGGUAAAUUCCAUGUAAAGGUAAAUAUAUUAUUGAGACUGAUAGCAAACAAGUACCAUGAGGGAAAUAUGAAAAGGACUUUGAAAAGAGAAUUAAAAGAGUCUGCAUUUGCUGAACAGAAAGCAAACAGAAUUGAUCUUGCUUGGUGAGAUUGUUGCGUCUACUCUUGCAUGUCUAUGCUGGAUGUGGGUGCGAUGGUUCUUGCCUUGAAUGUCAGCUUCUAUUUCUGCAAAUCAUUACCCUUGCACAUGAAUGGUAAUUUGCCUGCGGGUAUUGGAAUGCAUGUGUUUGCAAUGAUUUGUGAUUUGAUACAUGUGUUUGGUGGUACUUGUGUGUGUUCCUUUGUCAAUGGGGAAGGCUUGCUUCCUUGAGCACCACAAGCCCUUGCACAAUGUUGCUGGCAAAAUGUUUCUGCUUGACCCGUCUUGAAACACGGACCAAGGAGUCUAACAGAUGUGCAAGUUCGUGGGUGGACAAACCUUUUUGCGCAAUGAAAGUAUUGGCUGGGAUACUUGCACCAGCAGCCGACCGAUUAGCAGACAGAGGUUUGAGUUUGAGCAUAUCUAUUAGGACCCGAAAGAUGGUGAACUAUGCCUGAACAGAAUGAAUUCAGAGGAAACUCUGAUGGAGGUUCGUAUCGAUA
This 896-nucleotide ribosomal RNA is filed under the name Alexandrium tamutum. Its description in RNAcentral is "partial large subunit ribosomal RNA". It matches the Rfam family "Eukaryotic large subunit ribosomal RNA", at positions 43 to 885 of the family's 3401-position model. The record is from RNAcentral. Lineage: Eukaryota; Dinophyceae; Gonyaulacales; Pyrocystaceae.